This is a long non-coding RNA of Hibiscus syriacus, 314 nucleotides long. RefSeq lists it as uncharacterized. The record is from RefSeq and is a predicted model, not a curated record. NCBI's taxonomy places the organism in Eukaryota, Viridiplantae, Streptophyta, Magnoliopsida, Malvales, Malvaceae. The transcript has 3 exons.
UCCCAUUUUUUCUAGUUUUUCUCUAACGCCCAGCCAUCACAGUGAAGUCACCACUAUGCAGCCAUCACCACAACCACAACAUCACGCCGCCGUCAUCGGUUUCCGGUCACCAACAAGCGGGAAGGGCUUUGGUUAUAAAGGUUCCCAGCUUUCCAUCGUGCAUUAAAGAUUUCAUGAUUCAAGGAGGGGAUUUUGAUAAAGGAAAUCAAGCUGUAGCAGAAUCAAUGGUAGGGAAGAUGUGAGCAGCAUACUAGAAGUUUCAAGAAGAGGGAAAGAUCUGCUUAGAUUGAUAGGGGAUUGUGGAUACAAGGAAG